This is a long non-coding RNA of Lontra canadensis (Northern American river otter), 786 nucleotides long. RefSeq lists it as uncharacterized. Lineage: Eukaryota; Metazoa; Chordata; Mammalia; Carnivora; Mustelidae. The record is from RefSeq and is a predicted model, not a curated record. The transcript has 4 exons.
CUGAAGGUUCAGAGGGUUAGCGGGCUUCAGUUUCACCCAGCACUGGGAGCCCAAGAGUUGCUGAGGUUUGAGACCCUGAUUGGUUCUAUGGGUUCUAUGGCGUCUCCUUACCAGACUGAUGCGGUAAAGGGUUGUUCCCCAACCCCUUCACCUGUUCCCCCUCCCCACCUGCUCCCCACCCACACCCUCACCCAUCAAGCUUCUGGCUGCUCUUUGCCCAGAUAAAAAUUAGCCCAUCCUCCCUCAUUCCUUCACACCCUCUGCCCAUGACCCUCCUGGUGUACCUGAUUCAUCGAGCCCCUCCCCACCCUAUACAAAUACACCUGAGGACAGACAGAGCCUCAGACUUCCUGCAGCUCCUGGCUCUGUGCUCUCAGGUGUUCCUUUUGUCACUCCCUGUACUUGGCCGAUAAAGAUGGAUCCAGGUCCAAAGGGGCACUGCCAUGGUGGUGGCAAUGGCCCAGGGCACUGUCCUGGGGGAAACCACCCCCCAGGGCCCUGUGGGCACCCCCCUGGCCAUGGCCCAGGACAUAGUCCUGGGGGGAACCACCCCCCAGGGCCCUGUGGGCACCCCCCUGGCCAUGGCCCAGGACACGGUCCUGGGGGGAACCACCCCCCAGGGCCCUGUGGACCCCCACCUGGUCCACCUCACUAAGGAAGCAGAAGAAAGAGGACACAACAAUGGGGAGCCCGAGUUGGGUUGCCCUGCUGACCUGGCAUGGAGCCUGAAGCAGAAUCUUCUCUUCCUAAUAAACAGCCUCCCAGAGGCCAUAUUUUAUUCUUAAA